CAUGCAAGCCGAGCGGUAGAGAUUCUUCGGAAUCUUGAGAGCGGCGUACGGGUGCGGAACACGUGUGCAACCACCUUUAUCUGGAGGAUAGCCUUUCGAAAGGAAGAUUAAUACUCCACAAUAUAUUGAUUGGCAUCAAUUGAUAUUGAAAGCUCCGGCGGAUAGAGAUGGGCACGCGCAAGAUUAGUUAGUUGGUGAGGUAACGGCUCACCAAGACGAUGAUCUUUAGGGGCCUGAGAGGGUGAUCCCCCCACACUGGUACUGAGACACGGACCAGACUCCUACGGGAGGCAGCAGUGAGGAAUAUUGGUCAAUGGGUGCAAGCCUGAACCAGCCAUCCCGCGUGAAGGACGACUGCCCUAUGGGUUGUAAACUUCUUUUGUAUAGGGAUAAACCUACCCUCGUGAGGGUAGCUGAAGGUACUAUACGAAUAAGCACCGGCUAACUCCGUG
Molecule: ribosomal RNA, 452 nt
Filed under: uncultured bacterium
Lineage: Bacteria
Description: bacterial SSU rRNA
Rfam family: Bacterial small subunit ribosomal RNA
Source: RNAcentral